RNAcentral lists this ribosomal RNA (403 nucleotides) under uncultured bacterium. RNAcentral describes it as "bacterial SSU rRNA". It matches the Rfam family "Bacterial small subunit ribosomal RNA", at positions 355 to 774 of the family's 1533-position model. The record is from RNAcentral.
UGAGGGAUAUUGGUCAAUGGGCGCAAGCCUGAACCAGCGACGCCGCGUGGGUGAAGAAGGUCUUCGGAUCGUAAAGCCCUUUUCCCACUGAAGAGGAAGGACGGUAGGUGGGGAAGAAGUCUCGGCUAACUACGUGCCAGCAGCCACGGUAAAACGUAGGAGACAAGCGUUAUCCGGAGUUACUGGGCGUAAAGGGCGUGCAGGUGGCGUCUUAAGUCUGUUGUGAAAGCGCCUGGCUUAACCGGGCGAGGCCAAUGGAGACUGAGAGGCUGGAGGACGGCGGAGGGGUGUGUAAUUCCGGGUGUUGUGGUGAAAUGCGUAGAGAUCCGGAGAAACACCAGAGGCGAAGGCGGCACUCUAAGCCGUACCUGACACUGAGACGCGACAGCACGGGGAGCAAACG